Mytilus trossulus (common blue mussel) is the source of this 993-nucleotide long non-coding RNA. RefSeq lists it as uncharacterized. The transcript is spliced from 3 exons. The record is from RefSeq and is a predicted model, not a curated record. Lineage: Eukaryota; Metazoa; Mollusca; Bivalvia; Mytilida; Mytilidae.
AGCUGCUUGGCUAGCUUUUGAAGCUGGUAAAAAAUAUUCUAAUGACAAACAAGAUAAUGGUGAUACUGAUGAAGAAUCAGACAAAAGAACAAAUUGUGGCAUUGGAAGUAUUUGUGAUAGAUGUGAUCAUUUCAAACAUAUUCUAGUUGGAGAAGACUAUGUAAAAGUCUGUUGCAAGAGCUGUAGUGAGCACUUCGUUGCCGGAAAUUACGAGGAUGGAGAUAAGACACAACCACACUGCGCAUGCAAAUACGACUACAUAAAAGGUGAUUGUUGGAAGGGACUUGCCUGUUCAGCAUGCGAUAAAACUGUUGUUGGAAAUAUCAAUGGAGUUCCAGUUUGUUGUGAAAACUGUGAAAAAAGUGGCAUUAGGUAUGGAUUUGAAAGUCAAUAUAACACCUGUGACUGUCUUCACAAUGGAUAAAAGUAAAAGCAGAAAAAUACUGAACCCCGAUUCAAACCGGAAGGCUAAUGUUUAUGGAAUUUAAUGUAUCUCAUAAUUUAAAUGUGAAUUAGAAAAAAAUGUAAAAUUUUAUAUAAACAAAUGCUCAUCGGAAACAAUCAAACUAUCUGACGAAUAUGUCUAGCAAAUCAUUUGAUUGCAAAAAUAUACUUCAGAAAAAAGGCGAUUAUGACUGUUUUUAUGUUAUGUACAUCAUUAUCUACUGGAGUAUAGCAUUGUGGAAACCCAGAGUCACCAAUAAUAAUAAUUUUUAUUUUACUUGUAUUUUUUUUAUUAUUGAAUCAGAAUUAUUCCUAUAUAUAUUAUAUUAAUGUGUACAUAUUUUUCUAUUUUAGUUGUAUGUGAUAUUUCUAUUAUACCCGUAUUAAGUUGUAUAUGACCUUUCUGUUAUACCAUUAUUUUAGUUGUAUGUGAUCUUUCUGUUAUACCAGUAUAUUCUAGUUGUUCGAUAUGUUGUUUUCCAUUAUUUUAUUUGUUUUUCCAUUAAACUUGCUAGUAUAUAUUAUUUAAAUAAAAAUAUACAACUGCAU